RNAcentral lists this long non-coding RNA (682 nucleotides) under Olea europaea subsp. europaea. Lineage: Eukaryota; Viridiplantae; Streptophyta; Magnoliopsida; Lamiales; Oleaceae. The record is from RNAcentral.
CUAUUACAAUCAUUCACUUUUACCAUAUCUACAUUUCUUCCCCAUCCACGUAGUAGUGAUUUGAUGAAAAGUUGAAAACAUACUGUCCCCCAUGGGAAGACAUUGAAAAAAUCCAAGUCGUCAACGAUGGAAAGAGUUGUCGAAUUUAUUCCUACAUUUCGAUCUCUUGAAUUAAAUACCCCUUCAAUAAUUAGUGCCAACUCAAACUUGUAACGAUCGUUACAGUUAGCACAUUUCAAAAAAACUUUCUCUAGGUCGCUACACGUUAUCCGGUCCAUAUUAGCAAACAUUUUAUCUUGUAGACGAGUUUUCUCUAGGAUUUUGUCAACUUCGGCACCUUUAGGCACUGGACUGCACUACAAGCCAGUAAUUAGUGCGAACUCCGGCAGUCCAAAUCGUGCAAACCUUUGGUUCACCUUGAACCAAGCCUCAAACCACUUUCGACAUACCACCGAUCUGUUUACCAUUUCAUGAAUUAAUUAAGCAGAUAGUUUCAGCUCCGGUAACCUUGCAACAUAUCCUAUACAACUGUCCUCCAACUGACGCUUUUGCUGUGGAUCCAAUUUGUUGAGGACAACUGAUAUAUAUUUUGUGUUGCUCACUUGCGACACAUGGGCCGGAUCACGUUCUUCCUCCGAAAUUUUAUAUCGAUGUGUCAUACUCAUCUACAAAUCAAAACAAA